This 251-nucleotide ribosomal RNA is filed under the name uncultured bacterium. RNAcentral describes it as "partial 16S ribosomal RNA". It matches the Rfam family "Bacterial small subunit ribosomal RNA", at positions 524 to 776 of the family's 1533-position model. The record is from RNAcentral.
UACAGAGGGUGCGAGCGUUGUUCGGAAUUAUUGGGCGUAAAGGGCGCGUAGGCGGUGAAUCGGGUUGAAAGUGAAAGUCGCCAAAAAGUGGCGGAAUGCUCUCGAAACCAAUUCACUUGAGUGAGACAGAGGAGAGUGGAAUUUCGUGUGUAGGGGUGAAAUCCGUAGAUCUACGAAGGAACGCCAAAAGCGAAGGCAGCUCUCUGGGUCCCUACCGACGCUGGGGUGCGAAAGCAUGGGGAGCGAACAGG